RNAcentral lists this ribosomal RNA (554 nucleotides) under uncultured bacterium. Its description in RNAcentral is "bacterial SSU rRNA". It matches the Rfam family "Bacterial small subunit ribosomal RNA", at positions 113 to 663 of the family's 1533-position model. The record is from RNAcentral.
AUUCGUCGGAAUCUGCCUUUUUGUGGGGGAUAACGUAGGGAAACUUACGCUAAUACCGCAUACGACCUACGGGUGAAAGUGGGGGACCUUCGGGCCUCACGCAGAAAGAUGAGCCGACGAUCGAUUAGCUAGUUGGUGGGGUAAAGGCCCACCAAGGCGACGAUCGGUAGCUGGUCUGAGAGGAUGAUCAGCCACACUGGGACUGAGACACGGCCCAGACUCCUACGGGAGGCAGCAGUGGGGAAUAUUGGACAAUGGGGGCAACCCUGAUCCAGCCAUGCCGCGUGUGUGAAGAAGGCCUUCGGGUUGUAAAGCACUUUUGUCCGGAAAGAAAUCUUCCAGUUUAAUACGCUGGGAGGAUGACGGUACCGGAAGAAUAAGCACCGGCUAACUUCGUGCCAGCAGCCGCGGUAAUACGAAGGGUGCAAGCGUUACUCGGAAUUACUGGGCGUAAAGCGUGCGUAGGCGGUUUGUUAAGUCUGACGUGAAAUCCCCGGGCUCAACCUGGGACGUGCGUUGGAAACUGGCGAUCUAGAGUACGGUAGAGGGUGGUG